CCUACGGGAGGCAGCAGUAGGGAAUCUUCCACAAUGGGCGCAAGCCUGAUGGAGCAACACCGCGUGAGUGAAGAAGGGUUUCGGCUCGUAAAGCUCUGUUGUUGGAGAAGAAUGUGCGUGAGAGUAACUGUUCACGCAGUGACGGUAUCCAAACAGAAAGUCACGGCUAACUACGUGCCAGCAGCCGCGGUAAUACGCAGGUGGCAAGCGUUAUCCGGAUUUAUUGGGGGUAAAGCGAGCGCAGGCGGUUGCUUAGGUCUGAUGUGAAAGCCCUCGGCUUAACCCAAGAAGUGCAUCCGAAACCGGGCAACUUGAGUGCAGAAGAGGACAGUGGAACUCCAUGUGUAGCGGUGGAAUGCGUAGAUAUAUGGAAGAACACCAGUGGCGAAGGCGGCUGUCUGGUCUGCAACUGACGCUGAGGCUCGAAAGCCUGGGUAGCGAACAGGAUUAGAUACCCCUGUAGUC
Molecule: ribosomal RNA, 465 nt
Filed under: uncultured bacterium
Lineage: Bacteria
Description: partial 16S ribosomal RNA
Rfam family: Bacterial small subunit ribosomal RNA
Source: RNAcentral